Molecule: ribosomal RNA, 301 nt
Filed under: uncultured bacterium
Lineage: Bacteria
Description: partial 16S ribosomal RNA
Rfam family: Bacterial small subunit ribosomal RNA
Source: RNAcentral
CAGCCGCCACGGUAAAACGGAGGGUGCAAGCGUUAAUCGGAAUUACUGGGCGUAAAGCGCACGCAGGCGGUCUGACAAGUCAGAUGUGAAAUCCCCGGGCUUAACCUGGGAACUGCAUUUGAAACUGUCAGGCUGGAGUCUUGUAGAGGGGGGUAGAAUUCCAGGUGUAGCGGUGAAAUGCGUAGAGAUCUGGAGGAAUACCGGUGGCGAAGGCGGCCCCCUGGACAAAGACUGACGCUCAGGUGCGAAAGCGUGGGGAGCAAACAGGAUUAGAUACCCCAGUAGUCCCUGUCUCUUAUAC